Molecule: ribosomal RNA, 500 nt
Filed under: uncultured bacterium
Lineage: Bacteria
Description: partial 16S ribosomal RNA
Rfam family: Bacterial small subunit ribosomal RNA
Source: RNAcentral
GACGAACGCUGGCGGCGUGCUUAACACAUGCAAGUCGAACGGGUCUGCCCUGUUUUUUGCGGGGUGGGUCAGUGGCGAACGGGUGAGUAACACGUGAGUAACCUGCCCCUCACUUCUGGAUAACCGCUUGAAAGGGUGGCUAAUACGGGGUGUUCUGGCUGUGCCGCAUGGUGUGGCUGGGAAAGAUUCACUUUUGUGGUGUUUUGGUGGGGGAUGGGCUCGCGGCCUAUCAGCUUGUUGGUGGGGUGAUGGCCUGCCAAGGCUUUGACAGGUAGCCGGCCUGAGAGGGUGGGCGGUCACACUGGGACUGAGAUGCGGCCCAGACUCCUGCGGGAGGCAGCAGUGGGGGGUAUUGCACAAUGGGCGGAAGCCUGAUGCAGCGACGUCGCGUGAGGGAUGGAGGCCUUCGGGUUGUGAACCUCUUUCGCCGGUGAAGAAGGUCCUGCUCUUUGUGGUGGGGUUGACGGUAGCCGGGUUAUGAAGCGCCGGCUAACUACGUG